GAUGAACGCUGGCGGCGUGCCUAACACAUGCAAGUCGAGCGAUCUUCUUCGGAAGAGAGCGGCGGACGGGUGAGUAACGCGUGGGUAACCUGCCUCAUACACAUGGAUAACAUACCGAAAGGUAUGCUAAUACAAGAUGAUAUAAGAGAUUCGCAUGGAUUUCUUAUCAAAGCUCCGGCGGUAUGAGAUGGACCCGCGUCUGAUUAGCUAGUUGGCAAGGUAACGGCUUACCAAGGCGACGAUCAGUAGCCGACCUGAGAGGGUGAUCGGCCACAUUGGAACUGAGACACGGUCCAAACUCCUACGGGAGGCAGCAGUGGGGAAUAUUGCACAAUGGGCGAAAGCCUGAUGCAGCAACGCCGCGUGAGCGAUGAAGGCCUUCGGGUCGUAAAGCUCUGUCCUCAAGGAAGAUAAUGACGGUACUUGAGGAGGAAGCCCCGGCUAACUACGUGCCAGCAGCCGCGGUAAUACGUAGGGGGCUAGCGUUAUCCGGAUUUACUGGGCGUAAAGGGUGCGUAGGUGGUUUCUUAAGUCAGGAGUGAAAGGCUACGGCUCAACCGUAGUAAGCUUUUGAAACUGGGAAACUUGAGUGCAGGAGAGGAAAGUGGAAUUCCUAGAGUAGCGGUGAAAUGCGUAGAUAUUAGGAGGAACACCAGUAGCGAAGGC
This 666-nucleotide ribosomal RNA is filed under the name uncultured Clostridium sp. Its description in RNAcentral is "bacterial SSU rRNA". It matches the Rfam family "Bacterial small subunit ribosomal RNA", at positions 28 to 722 of the family's 1533-position model. The record is from RNAcentral. Lineage: Bacteria; Bacillati; Bacillota; Clostridia; Eubacteriales; Clostridiaceae.